Molecule: ribosomal RNA, 27 nt
Filed under: Pratylenchus agilis
Lineage: Eukaryota; Metazoa; Nematoda; Chromadorea; Rhabditida; Pratylenchidae
Description: partial 18S ribosomal RNA
Source: RNAcentral
GUGAACCUGCUGCUGGAUCAUUAUAUC